Wyeomyia smithii (pitcher-plant mosquito) is the source of this 631-nucleotide long non-coding RNA. RefSeq lists it as uncharacterized. The transcript has 3 exons. The record is from RefSeq and is a predicted model, not a curated record. NCBI's taxonomy places the organism in Eukaryota, Metazoa, Arthropoda, Insecta, Diptera, Culicidae.
CCUCUUUAUUGGACAGAAUGAUUCAAGUUACAGAUAAAAGAUAACUGAACACCUCGCGAAACUAUCUAACCAGGUGAGCCAAACAGUUAGUGGAAGUGUUUCUAUGAAAACAGAUCGUGAAACUAAUCAGCUAUCAAUGAACCCACCUUCGUUAACAGAGGCACUUUGAACCACCAAACGGCAAUCGAUAAACCAGUGACAGCAGCAAAGUUAACCGCCGGAAAGCAGAAAAAUGAAAACGUUUUACAACACUCUUUGGAGGAUGGUGUUACACGCAUGAUGAUAAAUGAGGCUCAAAAUACCUAGGAAUAAAUCGAGCUCUGCUAUGGAACGCAAAGAUAAGAUGCCGUAUGCCUAUAUAUGAAUGGGUUACAUAUAUGUUUGAAUGGUAAAAACGAUGUCGAACAACGUGCGUUUGUUCAGUUGGGCGAUGUGGACUUCAACUGGAGCGCACUGAAUGAUUAAUUUAGAAAUCUUAAUGACGAAAGUUUAGCAUCAAACAAAAUUCUUGAUUGAAGAUGAUAAAGAUGAAGAUGAACCAAAUUCGAUAAAGUUUAAGUAUACUCCUAAUACUUAUACUUUAGACGUUGCAACAGAACAAAAUUAGCUUUGCGAAAUACUGCCAUUCCGA